RNAcentral lists this ribosomal RNA (176 nucleotides) under uncultured bacterium. Its description in RNAcentral is "partial 16S ribosomal RNA". It matches the Rfam family "Bacterial small subunit ribosomal RNA", at positions 118 to 295 of the family's 1533-position model. The record is from RNAcentral.
UGAGUAACCUGCCCUUAACUCUGGGAUAAGCCUGGGAAACUGGGUCUAAUACCGGAUAUGACUCCUCAUCGCAUGGUGGGGGUGGAAAGCUUUUUGUGGUUUUGGAUGGACUCGCGGCCUAUCAGCUUGUUGGUGAGGUAAUGGCUCACCAAGGCGACGACGGGUAGCCGGCCUGG